UAUUCAAGAGGUAAAGUAGAGCUG
This 24-nucleotide non-coding RNA is filed under the name Cricetulus griseus (Chinese hamster). The record is from RNAcentral. Lineage: Eukaryota; Metazoa; Chordata; Mammalia; Rodentia; Cricetidae.